AAGGAAUCGUUGUAUAGCCUUUCGAUCAGACGGUUCAGGAAAUUUGUUACAGCUUGGUUUUUUCAUUGCUGGGUGUGAUCGAACCAUUUUCUAUAAUGUAACUAAGAAAAUCUACCCUGCUUUGCACUCUGUUAAGCUUUUCCAAGCCUUCGACGACGUCCUUGCUGGGAAUAAUUAUGUCGUCCAUAAAGACAACUGCGUCACAGGUGUUAAUAUGUGCUCUGAGUACUGCCAUAAUGAACCGUCUGAAAACUGCUGAAUGAAUUUAAGGAUGCAAACGUUAUAUGGACCAUCUUUAUAAUUAAGACUGCGAUAAAAAAAUGUGGCCCUUCUAAUUUAUUUUGGCAUACAAGAUUCGAGGCUAACGACAGAAACUUUUAGUUAUAUUUAAGAUCUUUAACUUCGCAGAUAAAGAAUACUUAAAAUAAAUUAGUUUCUAUAAAUUGUCAUCUGAAAGUGUA
Molecule: long non-coding RNA, 461 nt
Organism: Drosophila biarmipes
Lineage: Eukaryota; Metazoa; Arthropoda; Insecta; Diptera; Drosophilidae
Exons: 3
Source: RefSeq, a predicted model, not a curated record